CAAUAGCGUAUAUUAAAGUUGUUGCAGUUAAAAAGCUCGUAGUUGGAUUUCUGGUCGGAAGCUCCUGUCCUCUGAUGAGCGUACAAGUGCGUCCUACCAUCCUCUGUUAACCUUUAAGGCUUUCGCGGCUUUCUAGGGGCUCAGAUAUUUUACCUUGAGAAAAUUAGAGUGUUUCAGGCAGGCUAGCGCCGGAAUACAUUAGCAUGGAAUAAUGGAAUAGGACUUUUGCCUCUUCUGUUGGUCAUGAGGCUCGAGUAAUGAUUAAUAGGGAUAGUUGGGGGCAUUAGUACUUAACUGUCAGAGGUGAAAUUCUCGGAUUUGUUAAAGACUAACUUAUGCGAAAGCAUUUGCCAAGGAUGUUUUCAUUAA
This 369-nucleotide ribosomal RNA is filed under the name uncultured eukaryote. RNAcentral describes it as "partial 18S ribosomal RNA". It matches the Rfam family "Eukaryotic small subunit ribosomal RNA", at positions 592 to 976 of the family's 1831-position model. The record is from RNAcentral.